UGGCCCGUUGGUCAAGUGGUUAAGACACCGCCCUUUCACGGCGGUAACACGGGUUCGAAUCCCGUACGGGUCAUCUU
This 77-nucleotide transfer RNA is filed under the name Gemella haemolysans ATCC 10379. RNAcentral's name for it is "tRNA-Glu". It matches the Rfam family "tRNA". Rfam says of the family: Transfer RNA (tRNA) molecules are approximately 80 nucleotides in length. Lineage: Bacteria; Bacillati; Bacillota; Bacilli; Caryophanales; Gemellaceae. The record is from RNAcentral.